Molecule: ribosomal RNA, 368 nt
Filed under: Escherichia coli
Lineage: Bacteria; Pseudomonadati; Pseudomonadota; Gammaproteobacteria; Enterobacterales; Enterobacteriaceae
Description: partial 16S ribosomal RNA
Source: RNAcentral
UCCUACGGGAGGCAGCAGUGGGGAAUAUUGCACAAUGGGCGCAAGCCUGAUGCAGCCAUGCCGCGUGUAUGAAGAAGGCCUUCGGGUUGUAAAGUWCUUUCAGCGGGGAGGAAGGGAGUAAAGUUAAUACCUUUGYUCMUUGACGUUAYCCGCAGAAGAAGCMCCGGCUAACUCCGUGCCAGCAGCCGCGGUAAUACGGAGGGUGCAAGCGUUAWUCGGAAUUACUGGGCGUAAAGCGCACGCAGGCGGUUUGUUAAGUCAGAUGUGAAAUCCCCGGGCUCAACCUGGGARCUGCAUYUGAUACUGGCAAGCUUGAGUCUCGUAGAGGGGGGUAGAAUUCCAGGUGUAGCGGUGAAAUGCGUAGAGAU